This 457-nucleotide ribosomal RNA is filed under the name uncultured bacterium. RNAcentral's name for it is "bacterial SSU rRNA". It matches the Rfam family "Bacterial small subunit ribosomal RNA", at positions 340 to 786 of the family's 1533-position model. The record is from RNAcentral.
UACGGAAGGCAGCAGUGGGGAAUAUUGCACAAUGGGCGAAAGCCUGAUGCAGCUAUGCCGCGUGUAUGAAGAAGGCCUUAGGGUUGUAAAGUACUUUCAUCGGGGAGGAAAAAACAAAACUAAUAAUUUUAUUUCUUGACGUUACCCGAAAAAGAAGCACCGGCUAACUCCGUGCCAGCAGCCGCGGUAAUACGGGGGUGCUAGCGUUAAUCAGAAUUACUGGGCGUAAAGAGCACGUAGGUGGUUUUUUUAAGUUCAGAUGUGAAAUCCCUGGGCUUAACCUAGGAACUGCAUUUUGAAACUGAAAUACUAGAGUAUCGUAGAGGGAGGUAGAAUUCUAGGUGUAGCGGUGAAAUGCGUAGAUAUCUGGAGGAAUACCUGUGGCGAAAGCGGCCUCCUAAACGAAUACUGACACUGAGGGUGCGAAAGCGUGGGGAGCAAACAGGGAUUAGAUACC